This 429-nucleotide ribosomal RNA is filed under the name bacterium. RNAcentral's name for it is "partial 16S ribosomal RNA". It matches the Rfam family "Bacterial small subunit ribosomal RNA", at positions 355 to 776 of the family's 1533-position model. The record is from RNAcentral.
UAGGGAAUCUUCCACAAUGGACGCAAGUCUGAUGGAGCAACGCCGCGUGAGUGAAGAAGGUUUUCGGAUCGUAAAGCUCUGUUGUUGGUGAAGAAGGAUAGAGGCAGUAACUGGUCUUUAUUUGACGGUAAUCAACCAGAAAGUCACGGCUAACUACGUGCCAGCAGCCGCGGUAAUCCGUAGGUGGCAAGCGUUGUCCGGAUUUAUUGGGCGGAAAGCGAGCGCAGGCGGAAUGAUAAGUCUGAUGUGAAAGCCCACGGCUCAACCGUAGAACUGCAUCGGAAACUGUCAUUCUUGAGUGCAGGAGAGGAGAGUGGAAUUCCAUGUGUAGCGGUGAAAUGCGUAGAUAUAUGGAAGAACACCAGUGGCGAAGGCGGCUCUCUGGUCUUCAACUGACGCUGAGGCUCGAAAGCAUGGGUAGCGAACAGG